RNAcentral lists this ribosomal RNA (760 nucleotides) under uncultured Eikenella sp. Its description in RNAcentral is "bacterial SSU rRNA". It matches the Rfam family "Bacterial small subunit ribosomal RNA", at positions 28 to 776 of the family's 1533-position model. The record is from RNAcentral. Lineage: Bacteria; Pseudomonadati; Pseudomonadota; Betaproteobacteria; Neisseriales; Neisseriaceae.
AUUGAACGCUGGCGGCAUGCUUUACACAUGCAAGUCGAACGGCAGCGGGGUAGUGCUUGCACUACUGUCCGGCGAGUGGCGAACGGGUGAGUAAUAUAUCGGAACGUACCGAGUAAUGGGGGAUAACCAAUCGAAAGAUUGGCUAAUACCGCAUACGUCCUGAGGGAGAAAGCGGGGGAUCGCAAGACCUCGCGUUAUUCGAGCGGCCGAUAACUGAUUAGCUAGUUGGUGGGGUAAAGGCCUACCAAGGCGACGAUCAGUAGCGGGUCUGAGAGGACGAUCCGCCACACUGGGACUGAGACACGGCCCAGACUCCUACGGGAGGCAGCAGUGGGGAAUUUUGGACAAUGGGGGCAACCCUGAUCCGGCCAUGCCGCGUGUAUGAAGAAGGCCUUCGGGUUGUAAAGUACUUUUGUUAGGGAAGAAAAGGGAAGUGCUAAUACCACUUUUUGCUGACGGUACCUAAAGAAUAAGCACCGGCUAACUACGUGCCAGCAGCCGCGGUAAUACGUAGGGUGCGAGCGUUAAUCGGAAUUACUGGGCGUAAAGCGAGCGCAGACGGUUAUUUAAGCAGGAUGUGAAAUCCCCGGGCUUAACCUGGGAACUGCGUUCUGAACUGGAUAGCUAGAGUGUGUCAGAGGGGGGUAGAAUUCCACGUGUAGCAGUGAAAUGCGUAGAGAUGUGGAGGAAUACCGAUGGCGAAGGCAGCCCCCUGGGAUAACACUGACGUUCAUGCUCGAAAGCGUGGGUAGCAAACAGG